GUUGGCGUGCUUAACACAUGCAAGUCGAACGGAAAGGCCCUGCUUUUGUGGGGUGCUCGAGUGGCGAACGGGUGAGUAACACGUGAGUAACCUGCCCUUGACUUUGGGAUAACUUCAGGAAACUGGGGCUAAUACCGGAUAGGAGCUCCUGCUGCAUGGUGGGGGUUGGAAAGUUUCGGCGGUUGGGGAUGGACUCGCGGCUUAUCAGCUUGUUGGUGGGGUAGUGGCUUACCAAGGCUUUGACGGGUAGCCGGCCUGAGAGGGUGACCGGCCACAUUGGGACUGAGAUACGGCCCAGACUCCUACGGGAGGCAGCAGUGGGGAAUAUUGCACAAUGGGCGGAAGCCUGAUGCAGCAACGCCGCGUGCGGGAUGACGGCCUUCGGGUUGUAAACCGCUUUCGCCUGUGACGAAGCGUGAGUGACGGUAAUGGGUAAAGAAGCACCGGCUAACUACGUGCCAGCAGCCGCGGUGAUACGUAGGGUGCGAGCGUUGUCCGGAUUUAUUGGGCGUAAAGGGCUCGUAGGUGGUUGAUCGCGUCGGAAGUGUAAUCUUGGGGCUUAACCCUGAGCGUGCUUUCGAUACGGGUUGACUUGAGGAAGGUAGGGGAGAAUGGAAUUCCUGGUGGAGCGGUGGAAUGCGCAGAUAUCAGGAGGAACACCAGUGGCGAAGGCGGUUCUCUGGGCCUUUCCUGACGCUGAGGAGCGAAAGCGUGGGGAGCGAACAGGCUUAGAUACCCUGGUAGUCCACGCUGUAAACGGUGGGUACUAGGUGUGGGGUCCAUUCCACGGGUUCCGUGCCGUAGCUAACGCUUUAAGUACCCCGCCUGGGGAGUACGGCCGCAAGGCUAAAACUCAAAGGAAUUGACGGGGCCCCGCACAAGCGGCGGAGCAUGCGGAUUAAUUCGAUGCAACGCGUAGAACCUUACCUGGGUUUGACAUGGAUCGGGAGUGCUCAGAGAUGGGUGUGCCUCUUUUGGGGUCGGUUCACAGGUGGUGCAUGGCUGUCGUCAGCUCGUGUCGUGAGAUGUUGGGUUAAGUCCCGCAACGAGCGCAACCCUUGUUCACUGUUGCCAGCACGUUAUGGUGGGGACUCAGUGGAGACCGCCGGGGUCAACUCGGAGGAAGGUGGGGAUGACGUCAAGUCAUCAUGCCCCUUAUGUCCAGGGCUUCACGCAUGCUACAAUGGCUGGUACAGAGAGUGGCGAGCCUGUGAGGGUGAGCGAAUCUCGGAAAGCCGGUCUCAGUUCGGAUUGGGGUCUGCAACUCGACCUCAUGAAGUCGGAGUCGCUAGUAAUCGCAGAUCAGCAACGCUGCGGUGAAUACGUUCCCGGGGCUUGUACACACCGCCCGUCAAGUCAUGAAAGUUGGUAACACCCGAAGCCGGUGGCCUAACCAUUGUGGGGGAGCCGUCGAAGGUGGGACUGGUGAU
Molecule: ribosomal RNA, 1430 nt
Filed under: uncultured organism
Description: partial small subunit ribosomal RNA
Rfam family: Bacterial small subunit ribosomal RNA
Source: RNAcentral